This 494-nucleotide ribosomal RNA is filed under the name uncultured bacterium. Its description in RNAcentral is "partial 16S ribosomal RNA". It matches the Rfam family "Bacterial small subunit ribosomal RNA", at positions 28 to 523 of the family's 1533-position model. The record is from RNAcentral.
GAUGAACGCUAGCGGCAGGCCUAACACAUGCAAGUCGAGGGGUAGGACACCUCGGUGUUUGAGACCGGCGCACGGGUGUGUAACGCGUAUGCAACCUACCUUCUACAGAGGGAUAGCUCAGAGAAAACUGGAUUAAUACCUAAUAGUAUAUGUAUAUCGCAUGUUAGCCAUAUUAAAGUUCCUACGGUAAAAGAUGGGCAUGCGUCCUAUUAGCUAGCAGGUAAGGGAACGGCUUACCAUCGGUACGAACGGUAGGUGUCCGGAGAGGGAGAGCCCCCACACUGGAACUAAGACACGGACCAGACUCCGACGGAAGACAGCAGUGAGGAAUAUUGGACAAUGGGCGCAAGCCUGAUCCAGCCAUGCCGCGUGCAGGAAGAAGCAUCUAUGGUAUGUAAACUGCUUUUGUACGGGAAGAAACACUCCUACGUGUAGGGUCUUGACGGUACCGUAAGAAUAAGGAUCGGCUAACUCCGUGCCAGCAGCCGCAGUAA